Molecule: non-coding RNA, 1596 nt
Organism: Cricetulus griseus (Chinese hamster)
Lineage: Eukaryota; Metazoa; Chordata; Mammalia; Rodentia; Cricetidae
Source: RefSeq, a predicted model, not a curated record
CUGCGGCCGAGGCGGCAGGCCCAGGAGGAGCAGUAGCUGCAGGGAAACCAGGAUGCCCAGCGACGGCGGGAAGGAGGCUCCGCGGCCACAGUCUGAGCUCUGCAUCCAGGAAGUCCAGGGUCACAGGCUCUCGGAAGUUGGUAGUCUGCAGGAAGCCAGGGAGAUGGAGUGAUCAGCAAACAGAUGUAGGAGCAGAAAAGCUGGACAGAUGGACAGUGGACAUACAGCCAGAUGGGCAGAAACAUGCUCUGUCAGAUGGACAAGCAAGACAGCCCACCAAACAGACAAAGCAAUGGAUGGCCAUCUGUAUGGAAGGACAGACAGACCGUGAGUGACAAACAGCUGGACAUACGGAUGGACAGCCGACAGCAGAUCAUAGCAGGCAGAAGCCCUGGCAGUGAAAUGCAACGAGGUACCUUUGUUAGUGCAGGCCAUCCACUGCAGGGGUGUGACAUCAUAGUUAUGCUGCCCUACAGAGAACGUGAACACGCGCACCUGUCGGAGCAAUGAGGUUAUCGCCGCGGCCACUGAGGACAGCCCUCUCCUGUCCCGAGCUCAGUUCAGGGCAGCCACCCAUCAGGGUUGAGCCUCACCGUCCGGUUGGGCCAAUUAUACUUCUCAAAAACAUCCUGCACGCGAUCUUCGCCCCCGUCCGUGAACAUCAUGAUCAUCUUGUUGCAGUUAGCCCGUGUGAUGUUGGACUAGUCAAGGGUGAACACAGAGUCAGGCAGACCUUGUCUCUCACAGGCCCAGGGUAGGGCUCCCUCCUCUGGUAGGCAAGCCUGGCCCUCUGGCCCUCUGGCCCUCUGGCCCUCCGGCCCUCCUCCCUCACAGCAGGCAGGCUAUCUGUCUCAGCUGUAUGUUUAGUGUUUACAAGGCCAUCCACCUUUAUCUUCCUGUCACUAAGCCUAUCCCUUGCCCACCCCUGGCCACCCAUCUGCCCACCCAUGGGGCUCACAUUCUGUAGCUGGUCAAAGGCGUACUCAAAGCCGGCCUUGUAGCCUGUGGUGCCCUUGGCCACCAUGCCCUGCACAGCUUCCUUGAAAACCUUCUUGUUACGCACAUUGGCCUGCACCAGGUGUGUGAAGCAAGACACAGGCUGCGCCUUCUCGUUGAACUGUGGGGGACAGUGGGGUGGUGAGUGGCUUCAGGCUGGCCACAGUGGACAGCUGUUGCACAAGGCUGAUGGUUGUCAUGGGAACAAGUUGGAGGGGGGUGAUUAGUUCCCAUCCUGCCUGCCACCUGGGCACUCACUGAGGCCACAUUCACAUAGUCAUCAUCAGAGAGUGUGUCCAGCAUCUCACAGACGGAUGUCUUCAUUAGCUUCAGGGUCAGGCCGCUCACACUGCCACUCCUGGAAACCAGGCAGGAGCUACGUAUGUGUGGGCUCUCGGUUUCUCCGGCCCUUCCCUCAGAAUGUUCCCAGGCAGGGGAAUCCAGCCCUGGCCCCACCCAUCCCAGUCCUGCCAGCCUACAGUGCUCACUCACACAUCCACAAUGAUGACCAUGUCCUUGGGUGACGAGGCCCCCUGUAUAUACCUGCCAGUGAGAAGACUCAGUUAGGGACAGCACCCCGGGACCCGUGGGUUCCUCCUC